RNAcentral lists this long non-coding RNA (1202 nucleotides) under Nicotiana benthamiana. RNAcentral's name for it is "long non-coding RNA (NBEN_LNC015763)". The record is from RNAcentral. Lineage: Eukaryota; Viridiplantae; Streptophyta; Magnoliopsida; Solanales; Solanaceae.
UUAGGGAAAAUGGUUAUUUAAAUGAUAGCGCCUUUACUUUUCAAUUUUAACCCCAAUUCAAACCCAAUCCAGCCCAAUUUAAAACCCAAUUUGCCUGACACAAAUUCAAGUACACCCGACCCAAACCCGCUGAACUUAACCCACCUGUUCCCCCUAUCUAAUCCGGGUCGUUGAUCUCAUAGAUCAACGGCCCAAAAUUGACUUGCCUAAUUAAAUCCCCAAAACCCCCUUAGCUCUAAUCAUUCACUCAAGUCCGCCUUUCACUCCCAAAUUCUCUCUAGGUUCUCUAAAAACCCUAGUCGCCUCACGCCUCUUCGCCGGCGUUAAUGGCCGUUCAAGGCUUGAAACUGCCAUGCUCAUCCACUCAUCACCUGUCAUGGCCUUCGGUUCGAAGAUCGGGAUAUUAUCACGGGUGUGACUGAAGAGGUCCUUAAUGGAGUUUCACAACUGUGUCAGGCCUUUCUCCGGCAAGUCUUUGAAGCCUUGGGUCCUUGCCAAGCUCCGAUGAGCCCGUUCAGGCUUUUCUCGCCGUUUUGAGGCCUUUCUAUGAAAACCCUAAUGAUUCGAGGUUCCUUUUUCAUUUUUUCUGUGUUUAUAUUGCAAUCUUCUUUAAGCUCUAGUUAUUUUCUACAAGUUUAAGUGUUUCUCAUCUCUUUCUUCACCUAGUCGUGUUUUCAAAAACUGUUCGUCUCUUCCAAAACCUAGGGUUUCUAUGACCUAACUGAUUCUUUGAAUUUUUUUUUUUUUUGCUACUGUGUGUUCUUCUCCAUGAUUUUGACAUUUUUCUACUACGAUUCUCAAGUAUCUGGCUUGACUGUAUAUUUCUAGGGUUUUCAGUCCAUGUGCUUAUGUUUCUCUUUAUGAUGUUCUGCUCUUAUUCACCUGUGCUCCGAUAUGCAGUGGAAACCCUAACCUAGAAGGGUUUCUUUCUAUAUUUCUAUGUGUAACCCUAGCCGCCUAAUUGCUUUCUUGUGUGUGUUUUGCUGCAUGUUUACUUUACUAUUUUUAGUCUCCCGUAUGUUCAAAACUUGUGCAUCUUUUAUAGUACUGUUUUUCCCCCUUUCCCUGGCACUCUAAAUUGAUUUUUUGUACAACUGUUAGAUUCUCUAAUUGCUCCUUGUUUCUUGACUAAGUUCAAACGAGUAGAAUUUUGACUCCUUGAUUUCCUGGGUGAUUACUUGCCUUACAUGUUCAACCGUGUG